RNAcentral lists this ribosomal RNA (463 nucleotides) under uncultured bacterium. Its description in RNAcentral is "partial 16S ribosomal RNA". It matches the Rfam family "Bacterial small subunit ribosomal RNA", at positions 28 to 507 of the family's 1533-position model. The record is from RNAcentral.
GAUGAACGCUGGCGGCGUGCUUAACACAUGCAAGUCGAACGGAAAGGCCUUUUCGGAGGUACUCGAGUGGCGAACGGGUGCGUAACACGUGGGUGAUCUGCCCUGCACUCUGGGAUAAGGCUGGGAACGUGGGUCUAAUACCGGUUAGGACCGCUCUUUAGUGUGUGUGGUGGCAAGUUUUUUCGGUGUAGUAUGAGCCCGCGGCCUAUCAGCUCGUUGGUGGGGUAAUGGGCUACCAAGGCGCCGGCGGGUAGCCGGACUGAGAGGUUGGUCGGCCACAUUGGGACUGAGAGACGGCCCAGACUCCUACGGUAGGCAGCAGUGGGGAAUAUUGCACAAUGGGCGCAAGCCUGAUGCAGCGGCGCCGCGUGGGGGAUGACGGCCUUCGUGUUGAAAACUCCUUUCGCCAGGGACGAAGCGUUUUGUGACGGUACCUAAAGAAGAAGCACCGGCUAACUACGUG